GAUGAACGCUGGCGGCGUGCCUAAUACAUGCAAGUCGAGCGAACGGACGAGAAGCUUGCUUUUCUGAUGUUAGCGGCGGACGGGUGAGUAACACGUGGAUAACCUACCUAUAAGACUGGGAUAACUUCGGGAAACCGGAGCUAAUACCGGAUAAUAUUUUGAACCGCAUGGUUCAAAAGUGAAAGACGGUCUUGCUGUCACUUAUAGAUGGAUCCGCGCUGCAUUAGCUAGUUGGUAAGGUAACGGCUUACCAAGGCAACGAUGCAUAGCCGACCUGAGAGGGUGAUCGGCCACACUGGAACUGAGACACGGUCCAGACUCCUACGGGAGGCAGCGGUAGGGAAUCUUCCGCAAUGGGCGAAAGCCUGACGGAGCAACGCCGCGUGAGUGAUGAAGGUCUUCGGAUCGUAAAACUCUGUUAUUAGGGAAGAACAUAUGUGUAAGUAACUGUGCACAUCUUGACGGUACCUAAUCAGAAAGCCACGGCUAACUACGUG
RNAcentral lists this ribosomal RNA (497 nucleotides) under uncultured bacterium. RNAcentral describes it as "partial 16S ribosomal RNA". It matches the Rfam family "Bacterial small subunit ribosomal RNA", at positions 28 to 507 of the family's 1533-position model. The record is from RNAcentral.